RNAcentral lists this ribosomal RNA (270 nucleotides) under uncultured archaeon. Its description in RNAcentral is "partial 16S ribosomal RNA". It matches the Rfam family "Archaeal small subunit ribosomal RNA", at positions 477 to 747 of the family's 1478-position model. The record is from RNAcentral.
CAGCACCUCAAGUGGUCAGGAUGAUUAUUGGGCCUAAAGCAUCCGUAGCCGGCGCUGUAAGUUUUCGGUUAAAUCUGUACGCUCAACGUACAGGCUGCCGGGAAUACUGCAGCGCUAGGGAGUGGGAGAGGUAGACGGUACUCGGUAGGAAGGGGUAAAAUCCUUUGAUCUAUUGAUGACCACCUGUGGCGAAGGCGGUCUACCAGAACACGUCCGACGGUGAGGGGUGAAAGCUGGGGGAGCAAAACGGAUUAGAUACCCGAGUAGUCC